Molecule: unclassified non-coding RNA, 351 nt
Filed under: uncultured fungus
Lineage: Eukaryota; Fungi
Also listed under: 1 other name
Description: partial contains 5.8S ribosomal RNA, internal transcribed spacer 2, and large subunit ribosomal RNA
Source: RNAcentral
AACGCACCUUGCGCCCCUUGGUAUUCCGAGGGGCACACCCGUUUGAGUGUCGUGAAUAUCUCAACCUUCUCGGUUUCUUCUGGAUGCCGAAGGAGGCUUGGACUUUGGAGGCCUCUGCUGGCAUCUUUUGAAGGCCAGCUCCUCUCAAAUGAAUUAGCGGGGUCCUCUUUGCCAACCCUCGACAUGUGAUAAGGUGUUUCCAUGUCUUGGUUUAUGGCUCUGUUGCUUUUGGGACCCGCUUCUAAUCGUCUCAAUGACAACGUUUGAGAGCGUCUCCCUUCUCGGGAAACCCUACUUUCGAACCCACGAACCCUUGACCUCAAAUCGGGUGAGACUACCCGCUGAACUUAA